This 1105-nucleotide ribosomal RNA is filed under the name Psychrobacter sp. S1-47. RNAcentral's name for it is "bacterial SSU rRNA". It matches the Rfam family "Bacterial small subunit ribosomal RNA", at positions 60 to 1159 of the family's 1533-position model. The record is from RNAcentral. Lineage: Bacteria; Pseudomonadati; Pseudomonadota; Gammaproteobacteria; Moraxellales; Moraxellaceae.
AGUCGAGCGGAAACGAUGGUAGCUUGCUACCAGGCGUCGAGCGGCGGACGGGUGAGUAAUACUUAGGAAUCUACCUAGUAGUGGGGGAUAGCUCGGGGAAACUCGAAUUAAUACCGCAUACGACCUACGGGAGAAAGGGGGCAGUUUACUGCUCUCGCUAUUAGAUGAGCCUAAGUCGGAUUAGCUAGAUGGUGGGGUAAAGGCCUACCAUGGCGACGAUCUGUAGCUGGUCUGAGAGGAUGAUCAGCCACACCGGGACUGAGACACGGCCCGGACUCCUACGGGAGGCAGCAGUGGGGAAUAUUGGACAAUGGGCGAAAGCCUGAUCCAGCCAUGCCGCGUGUGUGAAGAAGGCCUUUUGGUUGUAAAGCACUUUAAGCAGUGAAGAAGACUCCAUGGUUAAUACCCAUGGACGAUGACAUUAGCUGCAGAAUAAGCACCGGCUAACUCUGUGCCAGCAGCCGCGGUAAUACAGAGGGUGCAAGCGUUAAUCGGAAUUACUGGGCGUAAAGCGAGCGUAGGUGGCUUGAUAAGUCAGAUGUGAAAUCCCCGGGCUUAACCUGGGAACUGCAUCUGAAACUGUUAGGCUAGAGUAGGUGAGAGGAAGGUAGAAUUCCAGGUGUAGCGGUGAAAUGCGUAGAGAUCUGGAGGAAUACCGAUGGCGAAGGCAGCCUUCUGGCAUCAUACUGACACUGAGGCUCGAAAGCGUGGGUAGCAAACAGGAUUAGAUACCCUGGUAGUCCACGCCGUAAACGAUGUCUACUAGUCGUUGGGUCCCUUGAGGACUUAGUGACGCAGCUAACGCAAUAAGUAGACCGCCUGGGGAGUACGGCCGCAAGGUUAAAACUCAAAUGAAUUGACGGGGGCCCGCACAAGCGGUGGAGCAUGUGGUUUAAUUCGAUGCAACGCGAAGACCUUACCUGGUCUUGACAUAUCUAGAAUCCUGCAGAGAUGCGGGAGUGCCUUCGGGAAUUAGAAUACAGGUGCUGCAUGGCUGUCGUCAGCUCGUGUCGUGAGAUGUUGGGUUAAGUCCCGCAACGAGCGCAACCCUUGUCCUUAGUUACCAGCGGGUUAAGCCGGGAACUCUAAGGAUACUGCCAGUGAC